GAGGUCAUUAUAUAAACAUCCUUCAUUUUCCGAGUCUGUACUCUAAUUAUAAUGUAGGCUGAUCAAUGUGGGAGGAGCUAUAGGAGGGCAGGCAGGCUCAUUAUUAUGGCUGUUUUUAGACUCAAUCAGGCAACGCAGUUUUAUUCCCCUGUUUUUUUAGUGUAAUACUUUUUGAAUCACUUCAGUAUGAUAAAACAACCUGUAGGUCGAAACUUUUGCAGUUAAGUGUAACACCUAUCAGGCCCCCGAGGACUGGAAUUACCCAGGCCUGCCGGGUUUAGGGUAGGGACGUCACACGGAUCCAAGAUAGCACUGACCGUCUCAGCUAUUGGCAACUGUAAUCAAGGGCGAGAGAGGGAGAGAGAGAGAGAGAGGAUAGUUCCACCUGCUUGGCCUAUCAUUUUAAAGCCCUGUGCUGGGCUCCAGAGGGGCGCGCCACCGGGGUGGAGCCGCUGCUGA
Molecule: long non-coding RNA, 459 nt
Filed under: Oncorhynchus kisutch (coho salmon)
Lineage: Eukaryota; Metazoa; Chordata; Actinopteri; Salmoniformes; Salmonidae
Description: lncRNA (ENSOKIG00005005282.1)
Source: RNAcentral